Molecule: ribosomal RNA, 414 nt
Filed under: Ehrlichia canis
Lineage: Bacteria; Pseudomonadati; Pseudomonadota; Alphaproteobacteria; Rickettsiales; Anaplasmataceae
Description: bacterial SSU rRNA
Rfam family: Bacterial small subunit ribosomal RNA
Source: RNAcentral
UGCAAGUCGAACGGACAAUUAUUUAUAGCCUCUGGCUAUAGGAAAUUGUUAGUGGCAGACGGGUGAGUAAUGCGUAGGAAUCUACCUAGUAGUACGGAAUAGCCAUUAGAAAUGGUGGGUAAUACUGUAUAAUCCCCGAGGGGGAAAGAUUUAUCGCUAUUAGAUGAGCCUACGUUAGAUUAGCUAGUUGGUGAGGUAAUGGCUUACCAAGGCUAUGAUCUAUAGCUGGUCUGAGAGGACGAUCAGCCACACUGGAACUGAGAUACGGUCCAGACUCCUACGGGAGGCAGCAGUGGGGAAUAUUGGACAAUGGGCGAAAGCCUGAUCCAGCUAUGCCGCGUGAGUGAAGAAGGCCUUCGGGUUGUAAAACUCUUUCAAUAGGGAAGAUAAUGACGGUACCUAUAGAAGAAGUCC